This 1698-nucleotide ribosomal RNA is filed under the name Mesocriconema sp. N3280. RNAcentral describes it as "SSU rRNA". It matches the Rfam family "Eukaryotic small subunit ribosomal RNA". Lineage: Eukaryota; Metazoa; Nematoda; Chromadorea; Rhabditida; Criconematidae. The record is from RNAcentral.
UAUCAGUACACGCCCUAGCAAGGUGAAACCGCGAACGGCUCAUUACAACAGCUAUAAUCCACUCGAUCUUGAGCAGUUACUCGGAUAACUGUGGUAAUUCUAGAGCUAAUACGUGAAGCAAAGCUGUAUUCAUUCGGAUGCAGCGCAUUUAUUGGAGCAAAACCAGGCGGCUUCGGCCGUUCACUGUUGACUCAGAAUAACUAAGCUGAGCGCAUGGUCUUGUACCGGCGCCGUGUCGUUCGAGUGUCUGCCUUAUCAACUUUCGAUGGUAGUGUAUGUGACUACCAUGGUUGUGACGGGUAACGGGGGAUAAGGGUUCGACUCCGGAGAAGGGGCCUGAGAAAUGGCCACUACGUCCAAGGAUGGCAGCAGGCGCGCAAAUUACCCACUCUCGGUUCGAGGAGGUAGUGACGAAAAAUAACAAGGUGGUUCUCUACGAGGCCCACCAUUGGAAUGGGUACAACUCAAACCCUUUAACGAGUAUCAAUGAGAGGGCAAGUCUGGUGCCAGCAGCCGCGGUAAUUCCAGCUCUCAAAAUGCAUAGAACCAUUGCUGCGGUUAAAAAGCUCGUAGUUGGAUCUGUGCCGGCUCCGUGGUCCACCCUAACAGGCGGCACUGCGUGAGUCGGCUUUGGGCCGGUCUUCGUCCGGGGGCCUUCACUGGUCCGUCGGCCGUGGCUGGCUGGUUUACUUUGAGCAAAUCAGAGUGCUCAGCACAGGCGUUUCGCCGGAAUGUUCGUGCAUGGAAUAAUAGAACAGGAUCACGGUCCUCUUUUAUUGGUUUUGUGGACUGAGAUAAUGGUUAACAGAGACGAACGGGGGCAUUCGUAUUGCUGCGUGAGAGGUGAAAUUCUUGGACCGCAGCAGGACGGACUACAGCGAAAGCAUUUGCCAAGCGCGUCUUCAUUAAUCAAGAACGAAAGUCAGAGGUUCGAAGGCGAUCAGAUACCGCCCUAGUUCUGACCGUAAACGAUGCCAACUAGCGAUCCGCCGGUGGCUACAAGGCCCUGGUGGGGAGCUUCCCGGAAACGAAAGUCUUCCGGUUCCGGGGGAAGUAUGGUUGCAAAGCUGAAACUUAAAGGAAUUGACGGAAGGGCACCACCAGGAGUGGAGCCUGCGGCUUAAUUUGACUCAACACGGGAAAACUCACCCGGCCCGGACACCGUAAGGAUUGACAGAUUGAUAGCUUUUUCAUGAUUCGGUGGUUGGUGGUGCAUGGCCGUUCUUAGUUCGUGGAUCGAUUUGUCUGGUUUAUUCCGAUAACGAGCGAGACUCCAGCCUACUAACUAGUACGAGCAUUGCCUCUGUGCUCGGUACUUCUUAGAGGGAUUGGCUGCGUCUAGCGGCACGAAACGGAGCAAUAACAGGUCUGUGAUGCCCUUAGAUGUCCGGGGCUGCACGCGCGCUACACUGGCAAAGGCAACGUGCUUGUCCGUCUCCGAAAGGAGCCGGUAAACCCUUGAAAAUUUGCCGUGAUUGGGAUCGGAAAUUGCAAUUAUUUUCCGUGAACGAGGAAUUCCUAGUAAGUGCGAGUCAUCAGCUCGCGUUGAUUACGUCCCUGCCCUUUGUACACACCGCCCGUCGCUGCCUAGAACUGAGCCAUUUCGAGAAUAUUCGGGAUCGCCGGUUGAGUGUCUUUCGGGGCAUUCCUCUGGCCAGAGAACGAACGUAAUCGCAAUGGCUUGAACCGGGCAAAAGU